Molecule: ribosomal RNA, 497 nt
Filed under: uncultured bacterium
Lineage: Bacteria
Description: partial 16S ribosomal RNA
Rfam family: Bacterial small subunit ribosomal RNA
Source: RNAcentral
GACGAACGCUGGCGGCGUGCCUAAUACAUGCAAGUUGAGCGCUGAAGGUUGGUACUUGUACCAACUGGAUGAGCAGCGAACGGGUGAGUAACGCGUGGGGAAUCUGCCUUUGAGCGGGGGACAACAUUUGGAAACGAAUGCUAAUACCGCAUAAAAACUUUAAACACAAGUUUUAAGUUUGAAAGAUGCAAUUGCAUCACUCAAAGAUGAUCCCGCGUUGUAUUAGCUAGUUGGUGAGGUAAAGGCUCACCAAGGCGAUGAUACAUAGCCGACCUGAGAGGGGUGAUGGCCACAUUUGGAAUGAGACACGGCCCAAACCUCCUAGGGAGGCAGCAGGAGGGAAUCUUUGGCAAUGGACGGAAGUCUGACCGAGGCACGCCGCGGGAGUGAAGAAGGUUUUCGGAUCGUAAAAAUCCUUUUGUAGAGAAGAACGGUGGUUAGAGUGGAAAGCCCAUCAAGUGACGGUAACUACCCAGAAAGGGACGGCUAACUACGUG